AUGUUGUUAGUUGUGUCUGCAUUAAUUCAUCCCUGCUGGCCAUUUAUGAUCAUGAGUUGGUUCAGAUCUAGAUUUAUAAUGUUUUUAUUUACCACAACUAGUUCUAUUAAGGAGUGGAAACCAAAGCCAACAUAUACAAUUAACCAGGCUUCCGGACCAGUAAGCGUAUCCGAGUCUUCUAUCGUUUCAGCUGAAACUACCAUACAAUUGUCGUCUGUGUCUAAGGUCCUUGAUUCUGAGGAAGUUGCUUCUUAA
Non-coding RNA from Vicia faba (fava bean), 255 nucleotides. Lineage: Eukaryota; Viridiplantae; Streptophyta; Magnoliopsida; Fabales; Fabaceae. The record is from the annotation of a GenBank genome assembly.